RNAcentral lists this ribosomal RNA (324 nucleotides) under uncultured eukaryote. RNAcentral describes it as "partial 18S ribosomal RNA". It matches the Rfam family "Eukaryotic small subunit ribosomal RNA", at positions 1470 to 1796 of the family's 1831-position model. The record is from RNAcentral.
CCCUUAGAUGUUCUGGGCUGCACGCGCGCUACACUGAUGCGAUCAACAAGUUUUUCCUAUGUCGAUAGACACGGGUAAUCUUUUGAACUCGCAUCGUGAUGGGGAUAGAUUAUUGUAAUUAUUAAUCUUCAACGAGGAAUUCCUAGUAGGUGCAAAUCAUCAGUUUGCAUCGAUUACGUCCCUGCCCUUUGUACACACCGCCCGUCGCUGCUACCGAUUGGUUGAUCUGGUGAAUUAUUCGGACUGCCGGCUGAGGGGGUUUCCUCAUCUGCCAGCGGAAAGUCUUGUUAACCCUAUCAACUAGAGGAAGCAGAAGUCGUAACA